AAAGGAGCAGGACAAGUAGAUGUCUAACAUUGAUUUCUUCAGUUGUGAAAAAUUACAAUGUCUCAAAAUGAUAAUCUAGUAGCAUGACAUUUUAAUCAAUCUUCCCAGUGACAGAUCAUUCCAAGAACAUUAGAAUGUGAUACGGUCAAAUUUCUUGGCCUUCUCUUCAAUCGCUGGUUGACAUGGAAACCUCACAUUUCCUCUCUCAAGGCAGCGUGCUGUGGUCGGCUGAAUCUCCUUAAAAUUUUUGCACACCAUUCGUGGGGAGCAGAUCGUCGGAUUCUCCUCCGUUUGCAUUCCACCCUAGUCUUGUUCAAGCUGGAUCAUGGCAACCAAGUCUGUUCUGCAGCUUCUCCUACCAUUCUUUCUAAGUUAGAUCCCCUUCAUCAUCAGGGUCUACGUUUAUGCCUUGGUACCUUUUGUUCAUCCCCUGUUGAAAGCCUCUAUGCUGAGGUGAAUGUUCCUUCCUUAGCUGAUCGUCAGGAUGCUCGUUGCCUUCAUUACUUUGUCUGCUUUCAUCACCUUCGUGUUCCGUCUACAUACAGGUUGGUCUCAGACGUUAGUAGAAGCCCAUUAUUUGUUUAACGCCCCUGCUUACUCCGACCGUUUUCUGUUUGUUUUCCCUCCGGUCUUCUCUCCAGUUGCCUCCCUUGUAUGUUCAUUUAGCGUUUGCCUUUUCUCUCCCCCUUGGGAGGUUCUAACGGUUUGCCUGUUCUGCCAUGCGCCAAAGCUCUCCUACCUGCUUUUUUCUCGCUUUUUCUUGAUCACUUCUGGUCACAUGCUCAUGUGGUUACUGUUUAUAGAGAUGGCUCUAAAUCUUCUGAUGGUGUUGGGUUUGCAGCGGUGUUCCCUGACGAUGUUGUCCAAGGUCGUUUGUUAGACUCGGCUAGUAUUUUUACUGCCAAGUUGUAUGCUAUCCUCGUAGAGCUUCUCCCUAUUACAUAUAUGUCUCCUUCAACAUUUGUGAUCAUUUCAGAUUCCCUCAGUGCUUUACAAGCCAUUAAACAAUUUGAUUCCCCUCAUCCAUUGGUCCUUUGUAUUCAACUAUGGUUGCAUCGUGUGGCUAGCAAAAUUAUCAUUAUAAUCAAAGGGGGAAGCGCUAAAUCCGUAGGUUUAUAGAGCGCCUGUGGGGGAUGAAAGGUAUUCAGGAUUAAUUCAGCGGAACUGGAGCACAGAUCCAGUUCCCUAGAUCAAGAGCCCCUCACCAGCAUCAAGGAACUUUUCUUGAGGGGUGUGGCUAGCAAAAACAGGUAAUUUUCUGUUAGGUCCCUGGACAUGUUGACAUGCAGGGCAGUGAAUAAACAGAUGCUGCUGUGUGGUCAGUGGUACAUGGUCUUCCAGUUUCCUAUAGAGGUAUUCCGUUCAGAGAUUAUUUUCUGAUCAUCUCGUCCCGUCCUCGCGGCCAUUGGCAACAACUGCGGUUGGGCAUGCACCAUAACAAAUUGCACUCUAAACCACUUUUAGGUUUGUGGCCAUCUUCUUCCCACCGUUGCUGUACUCAGAAGACUGUGCUCUCCCAUCUCUACAUUGGCCAUACUCGCCUUACUCAUGGGUAUCUCAUGGAACGCCACCCUAUUCCUCUCUGUGAGGUUUGUCAGGUCCCUAUUUCGGUUCUUCAUUUUCUUGAAGAUUGCCUGGUUUACCAGCAAGCUUGCAGGAUUUACCUCCAACACCUCUGCCCUACCACUCUUUAUCUUAUCUUCCCUUCUUGCAGACGACCCUACCCUUGAUUUACAAUCACUUUUUGACUGUCAGCAACUGAUUUACUGUAUGAACUUUGACACAUACCCCUUAGUGUCUCUAGCAGUCCUUUUCUCUCCUCACUUCUGAUCCCCUCUCCACCUAGCUGUUUAUAGCCCCAGCACUAUUUAUUUUCUGCCCCCCAGAGCUGUAUGACCCUUGUCAUUAUUAUUAUUAUUAUUAUAAUCAAGGGGGAAGCGCUAAACCCGGAGGAUUAUACAGCGCCUGGGGGGGGGGAUGUGGAAGGCAUUCAGGCUUAAUUCGGGGAACUGGAGCACAGAUCCAAUUCCCUAAAUCAAGAGCCCCUCACCAACAUCAAGGAACCUUCCUUGAGGGGUGACCCUUGUCAGUUUAGCGCUUUCUCUGAUUAUAACAAUUUUAGGUUUGUGGCCAUCUUCUUACCACUGUUGCCAUAGUUGGGAGACUGUGAUCUUCCGUUUCCGCAUCGGCCAUACCCACCUUACCCGUGGGUAUCUCGUGGAACAUCCUAUUCCUCUCUGAGGUUUGCCAGGUCUCUAUCUCGGUUCUUCACUUUCUUGUGGAUUGCCCGGUUACCAACGAGCUCGUGGUACUUACCCCCGAUGACACCACUGCCCUACCGCUCUUACCUUAUCUUCCCUUCUUGCAGACAGCCCUACCUUUGAUUUACAGUCACUUUUUGACUUUGUCAGCAACUAAUUUACUGUAUAAACUUUGACACAUAACCCUUAGCAUCCCUUCCAGUCCUUUUCUCCCCUCACCUCUGAUCCCCUCUCCAUCUAGCUGUUUAUAGCCCCGGCUCUACCAUGCAGCGCUGCAUGACCCUUGUUGGUUUAGUGCUUUCUUUGAUUAUAAUAAUAAUGUACUUUCAUUUAAGGACAACUCCAACUGGACAUAAAUUCACAUUAAAGAAGUAAAUAUCAGUUCAUGGUUUAAUGAGACAUUAAGUGUCCCUUGUGGCCAUGAGGUAUCUCAAGCCUCUCCCCUACAUUAACAAGUAGAACUGACAUUUACUUGUCCCUCUACCCAUCUGUCACUAUAUUAUUAUAAUCAAAACUAAGUGCUAAACCCACCAGGGUCAUACAGUGCUGCAUGGUAGGGUGUGUGAACUGUGUAAUGUGCUGAUCUGCAACUAGCAAGGGUGGAGAGUAUAACGGAGGUAGUUUGUAAGGGCAGUGAGGAGUGCUAAAGGAAGAAUCAUCAAAGUUUGUUUAAUAAAUCUGUUGCUAGCAAAAAGUCACAGGGAGUGUGUCAGAGGUGUUAGUGGUGAUGUCAGAGAUAAAUUCUGCAUGCUCACUGAUAUACAAAACAGUCCAAUAGAAUGCAGCAAACUGAAAUUGGACCCUGACAAUUUGCUUAGUUGCCACUGUAAAAGAGUGAGAUUUUUCUCUUUCUGCUGUAUAGCCCUUGUGGCUUAGCACUUCUUUUUGAUUAUAAUAAUAAUAAUUCUCUCUGUGCUCUGCUGAUCAAAAUAUACAAAUCAACUAUUCUCCUGUUUUUGUCUACACGAGUUUCCUUCUACCAUUGACUAAUGUUCAUGACACUGAUGCUCUGUUAUUUACAGUGCCUACUGUAUAUAUUUAUAAUCAUGAACUGCAGACUAAUGGGAUAUGCAAAUGAUCUAGGCUAUUAAACUAUGCUAAGACCCCAAACUUGUCACAAGAUGAACAGUGUUCAGCAGCAGCAACCAUAAAUAACCCUAGACUGCAGAUUUGAUGAUGAUGCAAUCUAUUUUGGUCUCAUCUUUAACCAUAGAUAUUAAUUUAUCUUCCAUUCUUUUCUCUAGUCCAAGUAAAAAUCACCUGUAACGAGAGAUUUCCUUCAUUCAUACAAUGUACUG
This is a non-coding RNA of Cherax quadricarinatus, 3559 nucleotides long. The record is from RefSeq and is a predicted model, not a curated record. Lineage: Eukaryota; Metazoa; Arthropoda; Malacostraca; Decapoda; Parastacidae.